GUUGGGUAGGGGAGCGUUCUGUAAGCCUGCGAAGGUGUACUGUGAGGUAUGCUGGAGGUAUCAGAAGUGCGAAUGCUGACAUAAGUAACGAUAAUGCGGGUGAAAAACCCGCACGCCGGAAGACCAAGGGUUCCUGUCCAACGUUAAUCGGGGCAGGGUGAGUCGACCCCUAAGGCGAGGCUGAAAAGCGUAGUCGAUGGGAAACGGGUUAAUAUUCCCGUACUGGUGGUAACUGCGAUGGGGGAACGGAGAAGGCUAGGUUGUCCGGGCGACGGUCGUCCCGGUUCAAGCAGGUAGGCAGAGUGAUUAGGCAAAUCCGGUCACUUAAUGCUGAGAUGUGAUGACGAACCACCAAGGUGGUGAAGCAAUUGAUGCCCCGCUUCCAGGAAAAGCCUCUAAGCUUCAGGUUACCAACAAUCGUACCCCAAACCGACACAGGUGGUCAGGUAGAGAAUACUCAGGCGCUUGAGAGAACUCGGGUGAAGGAACUAGGCAAAAUGGUGCCGUAACUUCGGGAGAAGGCACGCUGGCGGUAGGUAAAGUCCCUCGCGGACGGCGCUGAAGCCAGUCGAAGAUACCAGCUGGCUGCAACUGUUUAUUAAAAACACAGCACUGUGCAAACACGAAAGUGGACGUAUACGGUGUGACGCCUGCCCGGUGCUGGAAGGUUAAUUGAUGGGGUCAGCCGUAAGGCGAAGCUCCUGAUCGAAGCCCCAGUAAACGGCGGCCGUAACUAUAACGGUCCUAAGGUAGCGAAAUUCCUUGUCGGGUAAGUUCCGACCUGCACGAAUGGCGUAAUGAUGGCCAGGCUGUCUCCACCCGAGACUCAGUGAAAUUGAACUCGCUGUGAAGAUGCAGUGUACCCGCGGCAAGACGGAAAGACCCCGUGAACCUUUACUAUAGCUUGACACUGAACAUUGAGCCUUGAUGUGUAGGAUAGGUGGGAGGCUUUGAAGUGUGGACGCCAGUCUGCAUGGAGCCAACCUUGAAAUACCACCCUUUAACGUUUGAUGUUCUAACCUAGGCCCAUAAACUGGGUCGGGGACCGUGUCUGGUGGGUAGUUUGACUGGGGCGGUCUCCUCCUAAAGAGUAACGGAGGAGCACGAAGGUUGGCUAAGCAUGGUCGGACAUCAUGCGGUUAGUGCAAAGGCAUAAGCCAGCUUGACUGCGAGAGUGACGGCUCGAGCAGGUACGAAAGUAGGUCUUAGUGAUCCGGUGGUUCUGAAUGGAAGGGCCAUCGCUCAACGGAUAAAAGGUACUCCGGGGAUAACAGGCUGAUACCGCCCAAGAGUUCAUAUCGACGGCGGUGUUUGGCACCUCGAUGUCGGCUCAUCACAUCCUGGGGCUGAAGUAGGUCCCAAGGGUAUGGCUGUUCGCCAUUUAAAGUGGUACGCGAGCUGGGUUUAGAACGUCGUGAGACAGUUCGGUCCCUAUCUGCCGUGGGCGUUGGAAGAUUGAGAGGGGUUGCUCCUAGUACGAGAGGACCGGAGUGAACGCACCACUGGUGUUCGGGUUGUCAUGCCAAUGGCAUUGCCCGGUAGCUAAGUGCGGAAGAGAUAACCGCUGAAAGCAUCUAAGCGGGAAACUUGCCUCGAGAUGAGUCUUCCCUGUCGCUUUAAGUGACCUAAAGGAACGUUUAAGACUAAGACGUUGAUAGGCUGGGUGUGUAAGCGUAGCGAUACGUUGAGCUAACCAGUACUAAUGAACCGUGAGGCUUAACCUG
This 1724-nucleotide ribosomal RNA is filed under the name Proteus mirabilis. RNAcentral's name for it is "bacterial LSU rRNA". It matches the Rfam family "Bacterial large subunit ribosomal RNA", at positions 1223 to 2925 of the family's 2925-position model. Lineage: Bacteria; Pseudomonadati; Pseudomonadota; Gammaproteobacteria; Enterobacterales; Morganellaceae. The record is from RNAcentral.